UAAAAGGGUGUCUGCCGUACUGAGUGGCACGCGGGACUGUGUCCUGUGGGGUAUGGCUAUCAAGACAUACCCGGCACAUAAGUUUUAGGAUUUAGGGGAAGUUUUUAUGCUUACCGCUUGAACGCCCCU
This is a small nuclear RNA of Macrobrachium nipponense, 129 nucleotides long. RefSeq annotates it as U11 spliceosomal RNA. The transcript has a single exon. The record is from RefSeq and is a predicted model, not a curated record. NCBI's taxonomy places the organism in Eukaryota, Metazoa, Arthropoda, Malacostraca, Decapoda, Palaemonidae.